Long non-coding RNA from Astatotilapia calliptera (eastern happy), 1657 nucleotides. Lineage: Eukaryota; Metazoa; Chordata; Actinopteri; Cichliformes; Cichlidae. The record is from Ensembl.
UUGUUACCAUGGACUACAUUGGCACUUGUAAUCUUUUUAUUCCUAAAAUGCCAUUACUCUGCCUUAGCUUCAGGUAAAGAAGCUCCUGUCACAAAUCAUUUGAAAUAAUGACUUCCCAGUUUCAUGCUUGUGAUCGUGUUGUUUGCUGCAGUAGUUUAGAUAUUAUGUUUGAACGGAGCUUCAAAUUCCCCUUUUCUCUUCUCUCAGCAUUUGUUUUUGUAAAAGUUCAGGUCACCACUGCUCUUGGCUGAUGUGUAGAUGUGAUGUGACUUGUUCUUAAUGCCAGCAUAUAGAUUAAACAUGUGCCUGUGUGUGUGCAGAGGUGCGUGCGGGAGAUAGGAGGGUGUGUUGCCGUGUAUGAUCCACUUUUGUCCUUAGAUGAUCUUUUUCUUUUCUUUUUCUUUUUUUUUUCAUUAGGGAUAAUUAUGUUCAGCCCUCAAGGUACACCAACUGAAAUAAGACUCUUAUUUGUGCUCACGAUUUGUAUGUAUGCACUACUGUGACAGGACUGCAAAGGACCAUAAAUCAAUAAAAAAAAAGUCGAAGUGCAUAAAAAUGAAAAGACACAAAAUCACCACAAAAAAAGGGAGAUAGGCCGCAUGGAAAUGCAAGGUGGCAAAAAGAGGGAAGUUUGUCUGCUCCUGCAUCCGUGGGUUUGAAUCUGCAGGUCCUGAAAAAUAAACACAUAAACAUUUGCGAAGUAUUCAGCUGUAAUUUUUUGGGGUCUUUUGCAUGUGGUUUUUGGAUGCGCUGCACAUCCGCAAACUAAAAUGAAGGCAGCAGUCAUGACUUUUUUUUAUUGACUUUCAGCCGCUGGGUCUUUUUUUUUUUUUUUCCCAACGCUGUUGCUACAACAGCCCCAAGAUCAUCAUCACAUCAUCAGACCCAAGAUUUGCUCCAAAAUGCAAAUGAAAUUUACUGUCAUGGUCCUGAGUCUGAGGACUCAGUGUUUGUGUUUCCUUAUGCUUUUGUUCAUUCCGAGUGUGUAUUCUGUUGUUAUUUUGCCAUUUGUUAGGUUUCUGUUCUUUGCCUGCCUGCUCCCACUUCUCUGUGUUCCCUCUGUCUGUCCAUGGUGUUAUUGUGUCUGCUCAUGAGUCUGCCUGUCAAGUUCAGUGUCCUGUCUGGUUCUCUGUCUGUUAAUUUCCUGUUUUAUUCUGAAGGUUCAUGUCUGAUGUGAGUGUGUUCAGUUUACAUUUCCCCUGUCCCGUCAGCUCUGAUUUCUCCCAGCUGUGUUGCCCUCCUGUCUCUUAUCCCCUGAUUACUGGUGUGUGUAUUUAAGCCCUGUGUGUUCUCCUGCCUGUUGCUGGUUUGUCUGUAUUACUCCAUGUAAGUCCGCGCUUUUCUGCAUUCAUCUAUGGCUCUCUGCGUUUUUGUAUCCUCCGUCAGUCUGCGUCUCUCUGCCUUUCACCCCGUGUCCUGUGGAUUUCUAGUUGCUCUUUAGUUUUCCCAGUUUAGGUUUCCGUUAGUUUGUCUCAUUAUUCGUUUUCUGUUCCUGCCACUGACACCUUGUAAAUAAACUCCACUAAUCUUUUCAUACACUGCUUGCUCUUGGGUCCUUUUUCCAACUCCACACGGCUCGCCUCGGCAGCCGUGACAGUACGAACUGGCCACUAUGGACCCAGCAGCAGUCAACCCGCCCGAGGAGCUCCGGGAGGAC